UACGGGGGGGGGUAAGCGUUGUUCGGAAUUACUGGGCGUAAAGGGCUCGUAGGCGGCCAACUAAGUCAUACGUGAAAUCCCUCAGCUUAACUGGGGAACUGCGUGUGAUACUGGAUGGCUUGGAUUUGGGAGAGGGAUGCGGAAUUCCAGGUGUAGCGGUGAAAUGCAUAGAUAUCUGGAGGAACACCGGUGGCGAAGGCGGCAUCCUGGACCAAUAUUGACGCUGAGGAGCGAAAGCCAGGGGAGCAAACGGG
Molecule: ribosomal RNA, 254 nt
Filed under: uncultured bacterium
Lineage: Bacteria
Description: partial 16S ribosomal RNA
Rfam family: Bacterial small subunit ribosomal RNA
Source: RNAcentral